GGCCUGUUUGAGCAGGCAUUGCAAAUCUUAAAAACAAUAAGAUGAAUAAUCAUCACUGUUUGAUCACUGCCAUUUAUUGAGUACCUUCUCCAUGGCAGAUGCUAAGAUAAGACCUAACAUGCAUCAUCUCUGAUUUUACAAGUCUUCGAGGUUGCAGCCAUGAAAAUGCCCUGGUCAGCCAUGAUUGACCAUGACAGGGGUACUAGUGCAGGCCUGUUCCUGCUGGACAUGGAACCCCUCUAAUGGCUUAAGGACUCCCACUGGCUGGCAGAAACUUUCUUAGAACAACACUGUAGUCUAAGACUCUUCCUACUGAAUUCUCUUUCCUUCUCCCUCUCCUUUCAUGGGGGUCAGGCCUGCACUGCAGUCUGGGGCUUCCUCUGCCUACUUCAGUUCCUUCCUGAACAUUUUACAGGUGUUUCCCCCAAUAAUUCUCUUAUAUGCCUAAUCCCAUCUUGGUGCCUGCAUCUCGAAGGAACUAACACAGUGGACAGGAGUCCCAUUUUGCAGACAGACACUGGAUCAAUGAUGAAGUUACUUGUGUAAGUCCUACAGCCAACAAAUGUUAAGAGCUGGGGUUGUGUGCAGGUAUGUUUGAUUCCACAAGCCAAGUCUUAGAAGCAUACUAGGCUUCCUCUCUAAUGAUCUAUGCAGGCUUAACUGUGAGGACAGGGAGUGAUGACACAUUUCAGUUUGGCCCCUUUGUUUUGUCGAUGAGAAACCUGAGACCAGUGAGGGAAAGGAUUCGCCCAUGGGUGCCAGUGGGAGGGGUGCACCUGGGCUGUGCACAGCCAUUUCCCUCCUUUGGAGGCUGAGGGAGGAGGUCACAGGGAGGCCUCAGGGUAUGGAGGGAGGUCAGGCUGGGGGGCUUAGUGUCUGACCCACCAGCCUGGCAGGCGGGAAUGUGCCUGUAGAAGCCCACGGCCCUCUUGGGGAGAAGCCAUGAAGUGAGGACUGAGUGCUGCCUGGAGGUGCUGGCUGGGAUGCACAGGGAAGAGCUGUCAGGGUAUGGGUCUAACACUGGAACAGCUGGGGGACAUUCCCUGGAUAUCCCUGCAUUGCCUUGAGGCUCUCCCAUCCCUGUUUGAUCCGUAAGCUCCAAGGAGACAUGUUUCCCAGCCAUAAUGCCUUCUGAUCCCAAUCUCUUCUACUCUUUUCAUUGGCAAGAGUCAUUCUCACCCGGGUUUUCUUAUAUAAUAAUUAUAAACUCAUUCAGGGCCUGUGAGUGAAAAGGCACACAUAUACAUUCAGGUCUAAUAUUCACUGAGCAACCAUCAGCACAAUGGUAUGUGACCUCUUUGAAUGCUGCACUAAUGCUCCACUGUCUAGAAGGAGGCCAGACUGCUCUGGGGACCAGGUGCAGAGGGUGCCCUCAAGUGUCUAGUGUCAGAGAGAGAGGGGCUACUCCACUUUGGCCAGGGUGAACUUGAGUUGGUGAUGACAAACAUCUGCAGCUAGUCUAUUUUUCUAAUCUCACCCUCCAAACAGCCCCAUCUUCUUGCAGGGAGGAUGGGUGAAGGCAUUUUCAAAAAUGGACAUCACAUGUGACAAACAGGCAAAGGACCCUGACAGAGCCACAAAACUGACACGCUCAUGAAAACUCAGACCGCUGACAAUGGUGAGCGCCGACCAAUUCAGCGCCAGGCGUGGAGGCUUCUGGCAAGAGUGGUGGGCUCUGUGCGUCCUGAUGGUGGCAGCAGAGACCAGCUUGGGAGCCACCUGGCUCCUCUGCCCUAGCCCAUUAUGGCCUGAAUCCAAUCAAUUUCAGUUCUCAGCACUUCUGAAAACGUGCGUGGCUUAGAGUGUCUGGCAGGGCUCAGGAGAGAAAAGCAUUUCUCAGCCCCGGGACACAUAUAUGCCUCCAGGCACUGGUUGUGGCUUGCAAUCUGGGAGGGCAGGUGAACGGACACCCUCCCUCCUUGCACAGGCCUGGGAUCUGCCUUACUCAACUCCCACUUCUACCAGGAGCAGAGGAUCACCGCUGCCCAGCACCCCGCCCAUCUGAAUUCUGACUCUGGUGGCUUCAGAGAAGCAAGGUAGGGGCCAGUGCUGGUAUGAAAUGCCAGAUGAGAGGAAACUGAUGCAUGCACUUUACUCCUGACUCAGAGUGCCUGAAAUAUCUGGCAAACUGGCAAAGGAUGAAACCCUUCUUUGAGGUCUGUAGAGUAGCUUUAAGAUAAAUGAAGCCACUGAGAAGGUCCAAAACAAGGGGCCCUUAGACGUGGAAGAGGUCUGCUUUCCUGAUAACUAGAGUGGUGCUGGGCUAUGAAAACAGUCCAAAUAGAUGAGGAUAGUUCCUGAGAGCACAGGGUUCUGAAGCUGGACAAAUAUUCUUCCACCUUAAUGGCCCUCUCACUGGAGCCUUCACAGGGUUAACGAUGGUCCCGCAGGAGUUGGGGCCAUGACUGAGGACAUGGAGCUGAUGUGGAGGCAGUCAGGGCCAAGGCAAGAGCCUCCUUGUGUAUAGUGGAAACGCAAGACAGACAUCAAAGGGAGUGGGGUGUGCGGUUCCCAAGGGGCUACCAGAGUCCACUUUUAUUAAAAGUUUGUGUCUUUCUUUAGAAAGUAAUAUGUUCCAUCUCCAGCACCUGAAGGCUCCUUUCAGGGUGCCAGAAGAAUCCUCAAGGGACAGUCCCAGGCUGUGUCCUUCCUCCUGUCUUGGCUGACAUUUUUAUGCAUGGUUUAGGCAGCCCAUGGGCUUUCCAGCUUUGCAAUAAGAUCUGAUCUAAUUUCAAGCUUAUACAUAACAGAAGGGCUGGGGGAGAAGUAGGAGUUCUUUUAGAAUUGCAAAAUCCAGGUGGGUGUAGCCUGUGGGGUGCAGGCUAUCCAGCUCAAAGAGGGAGGCCCAUAUCUCAGAUUCCCUAAUGCUCGGCACAGUGUCUGGCACACAAUGGGCACACAGGAAAUCCUGCACUGAAUCAAACAGAUUUUGUAUUACCAGAUCUAGGCUGACUCACUGUGUGGUCAGGACCUUGGGUCAAUCACUUCACCUGGUGACUCACUCCCUACCUGUAAGGUGUGGAGGACAGCUGGAGUCACUGUGGCACCUGUGUGUUUAGCAGUGUGUUUGCUUGUUCCUGCUUUUAUGUCUCUGGCUGGUCUAAGAUGGAAUGAUAAAAAAAUAACGGAAUGCACUUUGUAAACGAGAGCAUCCUAGACACAUGUAAAGAUUGGAAAAUUAGAAAGCUGUCUCUACUGUAGUUACUUCUCAGAUAUGACCAACCAUUAUUAAGAAUUCAUUGGCUAAUAGGGCUACAUUUUCUCAUGAUCAUUCUUCUGUUUUAGAAGUGGGCAACUGCAGUUUUAAGAAUAAAUGUGUAAAUGUGUGUUUUCAUGAGAGACAAUAAAGCUGUUUUCAUUAAGAAUGAAAUAUGCAACUUGCAAACACUUUUACUUUUCUUGAAUUGGGUCCUUCAGCAGAAGCAGUUUGCCCAGCCCUGACAUGGAAAGUUUACUUUGCUCAUCAACCUGAAGGAGACCGAAAGCUAUGAGAGGCGGCUCCUGAAAAGAAUCUAGACUCCGGAUAUAAAAAGAUCUUGCAACACAAGGCCAAGUGGAAAUCAUGGUUCGCAUUAAAGGCAUAAACCUCCUGCACUAACAACCCAGAGCAGGAGGAAAAGCUGGGAGACCUGGCUCAGCAGCCUUCCCUGAGGGAAGCCUUCGGGGCUUUGUUCCUCUUGAGAUCAGGGCAAGCCUAUGUAUGACCUGAAGCCAAUACAACCAGCAGAGCUGAUGCCAGUGCUGGCUGCCUGAGUGCUACUAAAGAAAGAGUCCACCAUCGGCUCCCUCUUCCGUAGCCAGACACAGGUGGAAUGCUGUGCUUCCUUUUGGGAGACAAAGCAGAAGCUACCCCAGAGGGGGCAGAUGGGAGACAGGCCCAGGCAAUGCAGCCCUACAAAGAAGACUUGAAGGGCCGGGGCUGAGCAGCUUGGAUGAAGAGAAGGCUGCCUUUCAGAGCUGUUUCAAAUGUUUCAGACGUUGCUAGACAAACUAGAGUUGUAUGGCUUCAGAUGGCACAGCUUAGGGCCAUAGAGUGGGAAUCACAAGAAGGCAAACUUUAGGCCCCCAGGAGAGCUGGACAACAACCUGGAGGGUCAGAGGAGAAUGGGCUGUCCAAGGAGCGGGGAUAUGAGGGUGGGGCAGUGUGGCCAUCCCUGGAAGGGGUAAGGGAGUGGCAGAUGGUAACCAUUUGGGGUGGGGUGUGGCUGAGGAUUCCUGCAAGGCUAUCAGAGAAACUCUAAGAAUCAUAAGAAUCAAAGCUCAAGUACAUGAGGGAAGACAUAAUGAAAUCCCUAAAGUUCUGAGAGGUUGUACCAGAUUCUUUAUGGAGAAUACAGAGAGAAUGCCUCCUGACUCCUCAUUCACAGAGUGCCAGGCAGCAGCAAGGAGAAGCUGGUGGCCUUGGGAGGGCAAAAACUAAGGACAAGGUCCACAAUGCAAUCAGCUCACAUCACCUACGAACAAAUAAAGUGGGGUGGGGGUGGAGAGUUGCUAGAGUUUACGUAACUCUCAAGCCUUAAUUUAGCUGCAAGAACUAGGUUUUUGCCAAAGCUAUAGAACUUCCCACCAGAUGAAAGCUUUAUCUCUUUUUCUUUCUUAGGAGAAGAGAGACAGAAGGAGAGAAGAGGGGCAGGAGGAGAGAAAACACAAGAAAGAGGAUGGAAGAUAAAGAGGAAGGCCAGAGUGAGGCAGGAGAAAGCUGAGCUGGAACCUAACUCCUGUUGAUCUGCUGCAGAGACCCUCUCAUUCCACAAUUGCUCCCGCCAUGAUUUUGCAUCGGGUUGAUGUAGUGGAUGCUGUAGUCCACUACCCAGAUUCCUUCCCCAACCCACAACAAUGAGGUUCUCAUUCCGGAGCUGCUAGGAGGGAUGCCAGAUAAUAGCACACAGCUGAACUUCUCUUCAGCUAUUGCCCUCAGAUUAAGAAAGCUGCCUUGCUCAAGGUUACACGCCUUUCCUGGGAAACCAGUAUCCAAUGACUGGUUCCUGUAAAAGGAAUGGAGCUGCCUUAAAAGAGCUGCCUUGCUUCAAUUUGGGAAGACUAUGAAGAGCCAUCCCAGCUCUGGAGUUCUCCGUAGGGUUGGCUUGUGUAUUUGCAGGCAUCUUUGCUCAUAACAAUGAUAUCAUCUUCAUGCACAGCGAAUUAUGUUGCGGAACUUUUGGGCCUGCAGCAAAGUUUCUGUUACAGCAUUUCCUGGAAGUAUCCUUGGGUCUGUGACCCUCAUCUCCCCACAGCAGGAAGGGCAAGCAUCACAUCAUCAGUAUUGAAAGGUGCAUCAGGUUUACUGGCAAUAGCACUAAUAAUGCUAAUUAUAGAAGUGAUAGUGAGGUGGGGGGGUGGUGAUAGGAAUGGUCAAAUACAUAUCAUUUAUUUGGUCCUACUUUUUCCAGGUGUUAAGCAGUUUUCUACUAUGCCAGGUUAUAUUUUCCAAACAUGACUGUACCAAAAUAUCUCAUCCCAUAGGUUCUUACAAUGUGAUGUUGCUAUUUACUGAGAAGUGGUGUCUGCAUUCCCUCCUCUUUCAUAUGGCCAGGUUUUUGAGACUAUGCAGAAGUUAUUCCAUGAGUUCCAAGCCCAGGUCAUGAAAGAUAACUUGUAAUAAAUCUGGCUACCCUGAAGCUGCCAUGCUUGAGAGACCACACGAGAUGGAGAGAGAUGCUUAGGAGUCCCAGCUGUCCAAGCCUCCAGCUAUGUGAAUCUUCCCAGCAGCAACUGCCAGACAUGUGGUACACCCAAAAUGACUUUGGGGCUACACUUGGAAUUGGCAAGGUUCCAGAAAACAGAGGGACUAUCAUCAGAGACAGCGCACAAAAAGUGGGAGAAAGGUCACCAGCCUCACUCAUGUUUAGGGCUAUUAUGAAUAAAGCUGCUAUGAACACUUGUUUACAAGUUCUUUGUGAGGACACAUGUUUUCAUUUAUCUUGGGAAAAUACCUAGAGAUGGAACUCUGGGACACAUGGUAAUAAAGUAUAUUGGCAUAAUGCAAGAGUCAAGAUGCAGAAAAUAACUACUGUGUGAUGUCUCUCUCCCAGCUUUAACCCGCCUGAAGGGCAGCACUGAGUUCAACACACUGUCCCACAAUUGUUGCACUCUCACACUGAAGUGAACAGAUUCUUUCUCCGUGCCGUGCAGCUCCCGGCAGAGGAUGAGGGAAGGGUACCAUCGGUGAUUCAGCACUGUGUUUCCUAUCCUCUUCAAUGACUCUUUCAGCGAUAUGAAGGUAAAACCAGUUAGGUGAAUGGAGCACAUGGCUAUGCUUUGUUUUAAAUGAAAGUCUUUGUCAUCCAGCGGAGGACUUUAAUUCAUUUACAUUUAUUGACAUAAAUGUUGACUUGAAAGCGUGUGUCAGAUCCCUUCACUAUAUCUUCAGACCUGCCCCAAGGAGUGAGGAAGGGCAACACCAAGAACUUCUCUCCAAGGACCAUAACCUGCGAACCCCAUCUCACCUCCUCCUGCCAGAUGGACACAGUCAUUGUCCUCCUGGCUGAUCCCAUGUCCAUGUCUUGCUCUGGCUACUUUCAUACACCCAUAAUGACAUUUUCCAUCUACUCAAUUUUUUAAAAGCUCAGCUCGAACCUCACGGAUUUUCCUGACAAUCUGCUUCUCUCAAUGGCCUUAAUUUAAGUGAGGGUUGUCAGUCUUACUGGGUCUCGUUUUUUGUCUUAAAUAAUAACUAUUUAUGGGUAUCAAGUGUCUCCUCAAUUUGGCUAUGAUCCUUCACGGCAGAAAUACUGUCUUAUCUUGUGAUCAUGGAGUCACAAGAUUUCAUGGCUAGGAAUAUUCGUCAAAUUAAUCCUAGAUUGAGGAUCAGGUAGUAUGUGGUCUGAUUCUAACUCAACAACUUGCAGAAACUCACUUCUUUUUUCUUUUUUUUUCCCCAGGAGGAGCUAUCGUAUUAACUGACGAAACUCACUUCAUUUCUUUGGACCUGCAAAAUGAGGAUGGGCUCUAAACCACCUCUAAAGUUAAUAUUCUAUGAUUCCAUGAUAAGGCUAUUUGUCAUUUAUAAAAAAAGGAACUUCCACAUAGCCCAGAGAAAGGAAAUGACUUUUUCAAGUUUACAGAGUCAAUUAAUGGACGAAAUGUAAUUUGAAAUUCAAUCUCCUGAUCCCCAGUCUAUUGGGAGUUCUUUCAGAAUGUCCCUUGACUGUCCCUCAAAGUGCCAGCAUGUAUGAAACCUUGUUAAGGAUGUAUGCUCAAUGAAAAUACACAAAUUGACUUAACAAGAAACUAAACUCUCCAGAAAGAUGCAGUUGACCCAAAACUCUGAAUAUCUUUUAUGUUUAAAACUUUCUUUUUUGAACAAAAUUGUACAGUUACUUCUCUAUUUCAACUCUUAAGCCUUUUAUGCCACGUCAAAGGUUAGCUCUCUUUUCUCUCUGUUAAUAAAGUCUUAUUCUUGACUUUGGAACUGUA
Molecule: long non-coding RNA, 7416 nt
Filed under: Homo sapiens (human)
Lineage: Eukaryota; Metazoa; Chordata; Mammalia; Primates; Hominidae
Description: HSALNT0314760
Source: RNAcentral